GAGAACCUCGCACUGUCUGGAACCGGCGCCUUGGACAAAGGUAAAGAUUCCAUCUGAGUUGCUGCGAGGGAAAGAACUUUCAGACCCAGCUGGCGCCCAAGUUCGGAUGUAAUUACAUGUUGCCUUCAAGAGUUCUUGGAAAUAUUGCAUAGCGUUCUUGCUUAUCUUAUCUAUAACAGUCUUCAGAAGCAGCUUUGUGGCUUACAAGAUGAGGAGGGAUCGUUAAAGCAAGAGCUGCCAUGCUGAGUCUGGCCAAAGGGCUGUCCGGCCCUUCUCCAGCAGCGGUCAGCAGCAGCUCCUUAGCAAAAAGAAGAGGAAAGUCUUGCCUCUAUACUCUCGUAUGGCAGCUGAGAGUGUUUGACAGCGCUGGUCUGGAAGGACUCCAAGUCGAGGGAGGAGGUGGGUGUCCCUGGGACACACUGCCCAUGGGCAGGACACCCGGUGGUCCCCCUGUCGGGUGGCGUUCGCCUCCCCCGCAGCUCCAGAUUCUGCUCUGCAAACCAGUCCUUCCACUUCAGAAACAACAUUCGGUGGUUGUCGAAUUCUUUUAAUAAAUAGUGUCUGUGGAAAAAUGAAAACAGCAGGAUUCCCUGCUGACUGCUUUGCUGUAGGACAGGUGUGAGCUGUACACGUCCAGGAACAAGCUCGGACUCCUGGUCUAAUCUCAUAGCUACAGGAAUGCAGUCACACUUUCACGGGCAUGUAUUGUAUUUUUUAUCAUUUGGUAUGGAUUUUAACAUUUUGUUUAGCUUUUUACUGGACUUUGGAUCUGGCCUUCAAAGGCAAUCACAGCUGCUCCUGGAAAACUCUGGCAGAUCUUAAAACAAAAUCCUGAAUUUCAGACAUUCUCAAACUUUUCUUGCUGUUUCCCGUGGCUGAUGGGCAGGAUUAUCCCGUGCUUCCCGCCUGCUCCCUCCCCUCACACAGAAGCCCCUGAGCCUUUGAAAGCUCUGGCAGCUGUUUGACUUUCCAGGGCAUUCACAUGUUGCUCCUGGCCCGCGUCCCACCGGUGGCGGCUGGUCCGGGCUGGCAGCUCUGAUCUUGCUGCCAGUUCUGACCCCCGCUGUCCAUCCCUGCUAUUUCCUCUUAUGCAACAGCAGCUGGAGGUGACACAGUGAACCCCGUUUUGGGGCACUGCAGACACUUCUUUGCCUCGAAUCAUCUGCACAUCUGAAGAAAGGUCCGGUGAAGAAGGAGUGGCAGAACCAGCCUGAUAAGAUCAGCAGCUCCUCGAGGCUGAAAACUCCGCUAACUUCAGAAUGAGGGUCUUAAAUUCCCUUUGUAUUAUCUUAGUUGGAAAUAUUCUAACCUGGCCAGGGCCAAUGACAUUAAAAUAAGUUAUGUCGUUUAAUUAUGGGGUUUUGGUUCUUUGCAAAUUAAGCAGAUUUAAAACACUGUGCUGGUUGUGUCUUGCUUAUGAGCGAUGCUGCUGUGGGAAAAGGUUUCAGUGGGGUUGCACUGUUGGUUUCAGAUGAGUUGUGCUACAGGCUGCACUGAGGGCGUUCACGGCAGCUGGACUCCGCCUGCAACACCAGGUGCUCGUCUCCUCAGGGAAGGUUGCCCCAGGUGUUCUCACUGAUGGCUCCUGCCCCCUUGAAAUGCAGUCACCGAGGGAGCUGGUGGAGGGGCAGGAGAUGUUAAUUGCCACCAUAAGCAUCUUCCAGGAAAACUUCAGGGAGAUGGAGGAAGAGCAAGCAGCGAGCAGACAAACAGUUCUGGGCAUAUUUCUUCAGGACAGCAUGGAGUCACAGCUACGGCAGGCCUUUUCCUGCAUAGCUGUUUCAUCACUAGUCACUGAAAAAGCCAGGAAAUUCUGCAGAAAACAGCGUUUGCUGCUCCUGCUGCCCCACAGCUCCGGUGCGGGCUGGCUGUCCUGCAGCUCCUGGUGACAUGCUCCGGUCCCCACAGCCCUGCUGGGACACCAGCCGAUGGCCACGGAGACUGGGAAAGGGUGGCAAGCAAGGGAAGACUCCUGCUCUCCAGCCGACCCCAGCCACCUCCCGAAAUGUUUCCUCAACACAAGUCGCCCGAUGUUUCACACCUUCAAAGCCUGAGCGCAUCACUGUCCUUGGAGAAGCUGCUGAAGUCAAUCAGAGGCACUUUGCUAAAUCUCCUAAGUGAAAGCAGGAUUAAAUUUCACUUUUGAUAUAAUCCUCAACGGUAUCUUCAAGGGAAGUGUAGUGUUUCCUCCAGCCCUGGCUGGUGCCUCUGUGCUGAAUCACUCUGAUCCCAAAGUAAAUAAAGCUCUUUGAAAAAGGGGAAA
Columba livia (rock pigeon) is the source of this 2263-nucleotide long non-coding RNA. RefSeq lists it as uncharacterized. Lineage: Eukaryota; Metazoa; Chordata; Aves; Columbiformes; Columbidae. The record is from RefSeq and is a predicted model, not a curated record. The transcript is spliced from 2 exons.